AUAGGAUCCUUGGGAGGAACUUUUGGUAAUGGCCUUGAUCCUCUAUGCUAUUUUUUAUGCGUUCUUAGUUCUAUUGAACUUUUUGCAUUCU
This 91-nucleotide transfer RNA is filed under the name Secale sylvestre. RNAcentral's name for it is "trnI-fragment". The record is from RNAcentral. Lineage: Eukaryota; Viridiplantae; Streptophyta; Magnoliopsida; Poales; Poaceae.